CCUACGGGAGGCAGCAGUAGGGAAUCUUCCACAAUGUGCGAAAGCCUGAUGGAGCAACGCCGCGUGGGUGAAGAAGGUCUUCGGAUCGUAAAACCCUGUUGUUAGAGACGAAAGUGCGUGAGAGUAACUGUUCACGUUUCGACGGGAUCUACCCAGACAGCCACGGCUAACUACGUGCCAGCAGCCGCGGUAAUACGUAGGCGGCAAGCGUUAUCCGGAUAUAUUGGGCGUAAAGGGAACGCCGGCGGUCUUUUAAGGUUGAUGUGAAAGCCGUCGGGUUAACCGGAGUAGUGCAUUGGAAACGGGGAGACUUGAGUGCAGAAGAGGAGAGUGGAACUCCAGGUGUAGCGGUGAAAUGCGUAGAUAUAUGGAAGAACACCAGUGGCGAAAGCGGCUCUCUGGUCUGUAACUGACGCUGAGGUUCGAAAGCGUGGGUAGCAAACAGGAUUAGAUACCCCAGUAGUC
Molecule: ribosomal RNA, 465 nt
Filed under: uncultured bacterium
Lineage: Bacteria
Description: partial 16S ribosomal RNA
Rfam family: Bacterial small subunit ribosomal RNA
Source: RNAcentral